RNAcentral lists this ribosomal RNA (61 nucleotides) under Aplosporella javeedii. Its description in RNAcentral is "partial 28S ribosomal RNA". Lineage: Eukaryota; Fungi; Ascomycota; Dothideomycetes; Botryosphaeriales; Aplosporellaceae. The record is from RNAcentral.
GUUGACCUCGGAUCAGGUAGGGAUACCCGCUGAACUUAAGCAUAUCAAAAGGCGGAGAAAA